UACGUAGGGUCCGAGCGUUGUCCGGAGUUACUGGGCGUAAAGGGCGCGUAGGCGGCCUGAUAAGUAGGGGGUGAAAUCUUGCGGCUCAACCGCAAGGCUGCCUUCUAAACUGUCAGGCUGGAGCACGGUAGAGGCAGAUGGAAUUCCCGGUGUAGCGGUGGAAUGCGUAGAGAUCGGGAAGAACACCAGUGGCGAAGGCGGUCUGCUGGGCCGUUGCUGACGCUGAGGCGCGACAGCGUGGGGAGCAAACAGG
This 253-nucleotide ribosomal RNA is filed under the name uncultured bacterium. RNAcentral's name for it is "partial 16S ribosomal RNA". It matches the Rfam family "Bacterial small subunit ribosomal RNA", at positions 524 to 776 of the family's 1533-position model. The record is from RNAcentral.